Molecule: ribosomal RNA, 437 nt
Filed under: Azospirillum brasilense
Lineage: Bacteria; Pseudomonadati; Pseudomonadota; Alphaproteobacteria; Rhodospirillales; Azospirillaceae
Description: bacterial SSU rRNA
Rfam family: Bacterial small subunit ribosomal RNA
Source: RNAcentral
GUAGCGUUGCUACUAAUUAUGAGAGCGGCGCACGGGUGCGUAACGCGUAUGCAACCUACCUUAUACUGGGGUAUAGCCCGGAGAAAUUCGGAUUAAUCCCCCAUAGCAUUAUCGAUUCGCAUGUUUUGAUAAUUAAAGGUUACGGUAUAAGAUGGGCAUGCGUCCUAUUAGCUAGAUGGUGAGGUAACGGCUCACCAUGGCGACAAUAGGUAGGGGGCCUGAAAGGGUGGUCCCCCACACUGGUACUGAAACACGGACCAAACUCCUACGGGAGGCAGCAGUGAGGAAUAUUGGUCAAUGGGCGAAAGCCUGAACCACCCAUGCCGCGUGCAGGAAGACGGUCCUAUGGAUUGUAAACUGCUUUUAUUUGGGAAUAAACCUCUUUACGUGUAGAGAGCUGAAGGUACCAAAUGAAUAAGCACCGGCUAACUCCGUGC